Molecule: ribosomal RNA, 305 nt
Filed under: uncultured bacterium
Lineage: Bacteria
Description: bacterial SSU rRNA
Rfam family: Bacterial small subunit ribosomal RNA
Source: RNAcentral
AGCCUACGGGACGCAGCAGUGGGGAAUAUUGCACAAUGGGGGAAACCCUGAUGCAGCAACGCCGCGUGAGUGAAGAAGUAUUUCGGUAUGUAAAGCUCUAUCAGUAGGGAAGAAGGAAGACGGUACCUGACUAAGAAGCCCCGGCUAACUACGUGCCAGCAGCCGCGGUAAUACGUAGGGGGCAAGCGUUAUCCGGAUUCACUGGGUGUAAAGGGAGCGUAGACGGCCGUGCAAGCCAGGAGUGAAAGCCCGGGGCCCAACCCCGGGACUGCUCUUGGCACUGUGCGGCUGGAGUGCGGGAGGGG